RNAcentral lists this ribosomal RNA (720 nucleotides) under Triticum aestivum (bread wheat). RNAcentral describes it as "partial small subunit ribosomal RNA". The record is from RNAcentral. Lineage: Eukaryota; Viridiplantae; Streptophyta; Magnoliopsida; Poales; Poaceae.
AUGUUUUUCUACCAGGGACCCAUCUGUAAAGAAAUAUUUUUCAGCCUGGGCCUAAACAGAAAAACUGGAAGCGCGUACGGCCGAAAUACAUCUUCUGCAAAGGGAAGCGUAUUUCCAGUCGCAGUUCAAUCAGAGUAUGCUUUCCGAAUAGAGAAAACGUAUUCCAGAGGAUACGUGUCCACUUAUGUGACUAGGCAGAGGCGGGGCCGGGCUGUAUCGCUGACGUGCGAGUCCCACGGGGUGGCGCCCGUCACUUAUCCACGCUGGCCGCCCGGGUCAACGCAUGCAGGAGCGAGACCGGGCCUGAGUGGCUGCCAGGUGGGGUCGGGGAAAGGAGGGGGGCCCGCCUGGCCUAGCUCCUUCUUCCUCCUCGCGCGUGCCCGACGGAGCAGAGCAGAGGCGCGGCUCCGACGAGGGUUGCCAGUAGCUCCGGCCACCGUUCAAGGCGCCGAGGAUACCGGCAGGCUCGGGACGUCGAGGCGGCUCCGUUCCAAGGUGGCACGUUCGCCGGGGACCUCGAGGUCGAGGAGGGCAGGGGCCAAGGCGGAGGGGAGCUUCGGGUGGAGAUGGGCUCGUGGCCAUGGUGACUCCGGCGGCGAGGCAAGUACAUGGGGAGGCUCGCAGGAGCAUGGGGAGAACGGUGGUGGUGGUGGGAUGGAGAGAAAAAGGCUGCACUGCCCGAAUUUAGGAGGGGGCCGGCGACGGGCACGGCGGCCAUGA